This 468-nucleotide ribosomal RNA is filed under the name uncultured bacterium. RNAcentral describes it as "partial 16S ribosomal RNA". It matches the Rfam family "Bacterial small subunit ribosomal RNA", at positions 28 to 507 of the family's 1533-position model. The record is from RNAcentral.
GACGAACGCUGGCGGCGUGCUUAACACAUGCAAGUCGAACGGAAAGGCCCUGCUUUUGUGGUGUGCUCGAGUGGCGAACGGGUGAGUAACACGUGAGUAACCUGCCCUUCACUUUGGUAUAACUUCAGGUAACUGGGCCUAAUCCCGUAUCGCAUCUCCCGCUGCAUGGUGGGGGUUGGAUCGUUUCGGCGGUUGGGGAUGGACUCGCGGCUUAUCAGUUUGUUGGUGGGGUAGUGGCUUACCAAGGCUUUGACGGGUAGCCGGCCUGAGAGGGUGACCGGCCACAUGGGGACUGAGAGACGGCGCAGACUGGUACGGGAGGCAGAAGGGGGGAAUAUUGCACAAUGGGCGGGAGCCGGAUGCAGAAACGCCGCGUGCGGGAUGACGGCCUUCGGGUUGUGAACCGCAUUAGCCUGAGACGAAGCGUGAGUGACGGUAAUGGGUAAAGAAGCACCGGCUAACUACGUG